UGGGGAAUCUUAGACAAUGGGGGAAACCCUGAUCUAGCCAUGCCGCGUGAGCGAUGAAGGCCUUAGGGUUGUAAAGCUCUUUCAGCUGGGAAGAUAAUGACGGUACCAGCAGAAGAAGCCCCGGCUAACUCCGUGCCAGCAGCCGCGGUAAUACGGAGGGGGCUAGCGUUGUUCGGAAUUACUGGGCGUAAAGCGCACGUAGGCGGAUUAGUCAGUCAGAGGUGAAAUCCCAGGGCUCAACCCUGGAACUGCCUUUGAUACUGCUAGUCUUGAGGUCGAGAGAGGUGAGUGGAAUUCCGAGUGUAGAGGUGAAAUUCGUAGAUAUUCGGAGGAACACCAGUGGCGAAGGCGGCUCACUGGCUCGAUACUGACGCGGAGGUGCGAAAGCGUGGGGAGCAAACAGGAUUAGAUACCCCUGGUAGUCCACGCCGUAAACGAUGAAUGCCAGUCGUCGGGUUGCAUGCAAUUCGGUGACACACCUAACGGAUUAAGCAUUCCGCCUGGGGAGUACGGUCGCAAGAUUAAAACUCAAAUGAAUUGACGGGGUCAUAGCUGUUUCCUG
RNAcentral lists this ribosomal RNA (562 nucleotides) under uncultured bacterium. RNAcentral's name for it is "partial 16S ribosomal RNA". It matches the Rfam family "Bacterial small subunit ribosomal RNA", at positions 355 to 1376 of the family's 1533-position model. The record is from RNAcentral.